Molecule: ribosomal RNA, 511 nt
Filed under: uncultured bacterium
Lineage: Bacteria
Description: bacterial SSU rRNA
Rfam family: Bacterial small subunit ribosomal RNA
Source: RNAcentral
GACGAACGCUGGCGGCGUGCCUAACACAUGCAAGUCGAGCGGGGUUGAAGCGAGGGGUAACUCGGACUUCUACCUAGCGGCGGACGGGUGAGUAACGCGUGGGCAACCUGCCUCAAGGUUUGGGAUAACAGCUCGAAAGGGCUGCUAAUACCGGAUAUGCCUGUGGCCUCGCAUGGGGCUAUGAGCAAAGGGGAAACCCGCCUUGAGAUGGGCCCGCGUCCCAUCAGCUAGUUGGUGAGGUGAAGGCUCACCAAGGCGACGACGGGUAGCCGGCCUGAGAGGGUGACCGGCCACACUGGGACUGAGACACGGCCCAGACUCCUACGGGGGGCAGCAGUGGGGGAUCUUGCACAAUGGGCGAAAGCCUGAUGCAGCGACGCCGCGUGAGCGAAGAAGGCCUUCGGGUUGUAAAGCUCUGUCUGGAGGGACGAAGAAAAUGACGGUACCUCCGGAGGAAGGACCAACCGGCGUAACUAACGUGGCCAGCAGCCGCGGUAAAAGUACGACGUCG